RNAcentral lists this ribosomal RNA (253 nucleotides) under uncultured bacterium. RNAcentral describes it as "partial 16S ribosomal RNA". It matches the Rfam family "Bacterial small subunit ribosomal RNA", at positions 524 to 776 of the family's 1533-position model. The record is from RNAcentral.
UACGGAGGGUGCAAGCGUUAUCCGGAUUCACUGGGUUUAAAGGGUGCGUAGGCGGGCAGGUAAGUCCGUGGUGAAAUCUCUGAGCUUAACUCAGAAACUGCCAUGGAUACUAUUUGUCUUGAAUAUUGUGGAGGUAAGCGGAAUAUGUCAUGUAGCGGUGAAAUGCUUAGAUAUCGUCAAGAACACCUAUAGCGAAGGCAGCUUACUAGGCUGUAACUGACGCUGAGGCACGAAAGUGUGGGGAUCAAACAGG